This 1001-nucleotide unclassified non-coding RNA is filed under the name Hevea brasiliensis (rubber tree). Lineage: Eukaryota; Viridiplantae; Streptophyta; Magnoliopsida; Malpighiales; Euphorbiaceae. The record is from RNAcentral.
AUAUUUUGCUCCAUUGAUCACUUUAUCCAAAAACAAUCAACAAGAAGGCCGAAGUAACAAGUCUCGUCUUCUUCCUUGCAUCACUUUGCUGAAGAGCUCUCUGAUAAUGGCUUCCACUUUCCUUCAAUCUCUCUCUCAACCAAAUCCACUUCUCAUAAACCAGAACUUAACUCAAUUCUCCAUAAACCCAUCAAUUCUAAUCAUCCAAAACCCACAAAAAGCCCAUUUCUUCUCCAUCAAAUGCACUUCAACCUCAUCCCCAGAACCCACCAUUAAUGAUGAUGACGACCCAACUCCAUACUCCACCACCUUGAACAACGCAGAAACUUUCCCUAUUGAAAAGAGAAGAAGAUCUGAAAUACUGAGAGAAAGAAAGUUAAAAAAAGAACUUACAAAAGCUGAGCCACCGAAUUUUGAGAUAGGGUGGAAAAGAACUAAAAAGAUUGAGCUUGAGAAGCCAAAAGGGUAUGUGAUAAUGGAUUUCUUGGAGAAGUUGGAGGAGUUGAUGGGAAAAGAGUUUGGUUCAACUGCUCUUUUGGCUAAGGCUGGAGAAAUAGUAGCAGAGAGAGCCAGAGAAGAGGCAGAGGUGUUGAGAGAUGAAGGGAAAGUAGAGGAGCGAAUGGUGACUGAGUUGUUUAGGGUUUUGAAGUUGAUGGAAAUGGAUUUGGCUAUGGUUAAAGCUGCUGUUAAAGAAGAGACUCUGGGUGAGAGGCUUGAACAGGCCAAGGCCAGAUGCAGGCAAGCUAUACUUGUUGCUAAUUCCUUUUGAACAUUAAUCACAAUAAUAAUAAUAACAAUAAUAUGGCUUUAUUAACUUCUUUCAAUCCAGGUUAAUUUUAGGGACAAUCUUCAAAACUCUUUUACUUGUAAUAAUUCAUGAGUUGCCAUCACACCAAGAGUUCCCAAGAAUUCUCUCCCUCACCAUGAUUAUCAUUGCCAAUUUAUUGUGUCUGAAUUUUACUUUUGUUGAUUUCAGUUGAAUGGAAGGCUGGAAUUCGAGA